UCUCUCUGAAUCUGCGAACGGCUCCGCACACCAGUUGUAAACUAUAGCAAGCAUGCUUCGGGCUCUCUUCACGGGGGGUUCGGGGUAAUACGGGUAACCCUGGUAAUUCUGAGGCUAAUACGAGACUGCAACUCCUGGUCAGCCGGCAACGGUAGGCUGGGGGACGUGCAAGCUUGUAUUCGGAUUUUAUCGGGAAUGAGUGCACGUCUUGACCGCGCUAAAGACAGAUGAGGUUGGCUCCGGCCGGCCUUGCCUGAGCGGCUCUUGCUGUGUGCUUCUGACCUAUCAACUAGACGGCAGCGUAAGGGACAUGCUAUGGUUACAACGGGUACAGAGGAUUAGGGUUCGAUCCUGGAGAGUGGGCCUGAGAGAUU
Molecule: ribosomal RNA, 374 nt
Filed under: Didymium clavus
Lineage: Eukaryota; Evosea; Eumycetozoa; Physariida; Didymiaceae
Description: SSU rRNA
Rfam family: Eukaryotic small subunit ribosomal RNA
Source: RNAcentral